Molecule: ribosomal RNA, 812 nt
Filed under: uncultured bacterium
Lineage: Bacteria
Description: bacterial SSU rRNA
Rfam family: Bacterial small subunit ribosomal RNA
Source: RNAcentral
CAAGUCGAACGAGAGAUGAAGAGCUUGCUCUUCAAAUCGAGUGGCGAACGGGUGAGUAACGCGUGAGGAACCUGCCUCAAAGAGGGGGACAACAGUUGGAAACGACUGCUAAUACCGCAUAAGCCCACGGCUCGGCAUCGAGCAGAGGGAAAAGGAGCAAUCCGCUUUGAGAUGGCCUCGCGUCCGAUUAGCUAGUUGGUGAGGUAACGGCCCACCAGGGCGACGAUCGGUAGCCGGACUGAGAGGUUGAACGGCCACAUUGGGACUGAGACACGGCCCAGACUCCUACGGGAGGCAGCAGUGGGGAAUAUUGCACAAUGGGGGAAACCCUGAUGCAGCGACGCCGCGUGGAGGAAGAAGGUCUUCGGAUUGUAAACUCCUGUUGUUGAGGAAGAUAAUGACGGUACUCAACAAGGAAGUGACGGCUAACUACGUGCCAGCAGCCGCGGUAAAACGUAGGUCACAAGCGUUGUCCGGAAUUACUGGGUGUAAAGGGAGCGCAGGCGGGAGAACAAGUUGGAAGUGAAAUCCAUGGGCUCAACCCAUGAACUGCUUUCAAAACUGUUUUUCUUGAGUAGUGCAGAGGUAGGCGGAAUUCCCGGUGUAGCGGUGGAAUGCGUAGAUAUCGGGAGGAACACCAGUGGCGAAGGCGGCCUACUGGGCACCAACUGACGCUGAGGCUCGAAAGUGUGGGUAGCAAACAGGAUUAGAUACCCUGGUAGUCCACACCGUAAACGCAUGAUUACUAGGUGUUGGAGGAUUGACCCCUUCAGUGCCGCAGUUAACACAAUAAGUAAUCCACCUGGGGAGUA